RNAcentral lists this ribosomal RNA (406 nucleotides) under uncultured bacterium. RNAcentral's name for it is "partial 16S ribosomal RNA". It matches the Rfam family "Bacterial small subunit ribosomal RNA", at positions 30 to 526 of the family's 1533-position model. The record is from RNAcentral.
AUUGAACGCUGGCGGCAGGCCUAACACAUGCAAGUCGAGCGAGCGGCGGACGGGUGAGUAAUGUCUGGGAAACUGCCUGUUGGAGGGGGAUAACUACUGGAAACGGUAGCUAAUACCGCAUACCAUCAGAUGUGCCCAGAUGGGAUUAGCUAGUAGGUGGGGUAAUGGCUCACCUAGGCGACGAUCCCUAGCUGGUCUGAGAGGAUGACCAGCCACACUGGAGCUGAGGUACGGUCCAGACGCCUACGGUAGGCAGCAGUCGGGAAUUGUGGACAAUGGGCGCGAGCCUGAUGCAGCCAUGCCGCGUGUGUGAAGAAGGCCUUCGGUUUGUAAAGCACUUUCGGCGUGGAGGCGUUACCCGAAGAAGAAGCACCGGCUAACUCCGUGCCAGCAGCCGCGGUAAUAC